RNAcentral lists this ribosomal RNA (253 nucleotides) under uncultured bacterium. RNAcentral describes it as "partial 16S ribosomal RNA". It matches the Rfam family "Bacterial small subunit ribosomal RNA", at positions 524 to 776 of the family's 1533-position model. The record is from RNAcentral.
UACGGGGGGGGCAAGCGUUGUUCGGAAUUACUGGGCGUAAAGGGUUCGUAGGUGGCCUGCUAAGUCAAACGUGAAAUCCCUCAGCUUAACUGGGGAACUGCGCCUGAGACUGGUGGGCUUGAGUGCAGGAGAGGAACGCGGAAUUCCAGGUGUAGCGGUGAAAUGCGUAGAUAUCUGGAGGAACACCGGUGGCGAAGGCGGCGUUCUGGACUGCUACUGACACUGAGGAACGAAAGCCAGGGGAGCAAACGGG